AAAAAAAUCUAAUCAACUCUUCCCUAUCUCCUUCCACUCUGCUCAUUCUCACUCACUCCACCAUUACAAAACCUCCUAAUCCAAAACCCAUGUCUCUCCCCAUCACCACCACCUUCCUCUUCUCACCACCAUACAAGCUCCCCACAUUCACCACCCCACACUCCUCACUCCUCUUCCCCUCCCCACCGCCACUCCUUCUCAAACGCACCAUUCCCACUCCCACCCCUCUCCGACGCAACAACCCAUUCCUCACCCGCGCUGACGACGGCGACGGCGACGGAGCCGACCCCGACGACUACGACAUGGACGAGGACGAGCUCGAGGAAGUCGACAACAAGAAAGACUUCGACAUCGAGUACCACUCCGAAUCCACCUCGCUCUCUGCUACCGCCGACGAAGACAUCGACAUGGUACAGAGCAAGACUUUUGUGUCAACACAAGGUUGGGACUCCGAGAUGGUUGUCGAUUAUAGGAUCAACGAGGAAGAGUUCCAUAAGAUUUCCUUGCUUCACUGCGAUUUCUUUAUCAGAAAACCCCCUGACCCAGAUAACGAUGUCUAUGAUUUCAGAGAGAUGUAUGUUACUCCUCCUGAUACUGAUGUUUAUGCCAUUCCCAAAGUGCUUGCUCCAAUGCCUCAAAAGUACAUUCGCUGUGCAAUGAGUGAUUAUGGAUGCUACAAUGUCACAGAACCGCCCAUUGAUGCGCCUCGAGAUCCAUUAUAUAAAACCGAGAGGGAGAUCUUUAAGGUUUUCUUGACAAAGCACUAUAGGAACCGGAGGUUGGAUGACCCAGAGUUCGUGCUUGAUUUUGAGGAGAUUUAUGUUAUUGAUUCCCAAACAAAAUCAAUUACCAGAGCUAAAGUUUUGGUCACAGUUCCAGGAGGAAGAAACAGAGAUAGAAAGAGUGACUUGCUUGUAAUACGAGAUAAAGGGAGCUCCUUCAAAAUAAUUCCUCUGAGCGAGAGAGAUAAUCCUUCCACUGUGAUAGAGAGACAAGAGUGGGACAAGACCAGGGAAGACAUGGAGAAACAUCUUAGAAAGCUACGGGACUUCAGCGUUUCAAAUUGGUUCUAGUCACUCUGCAGAUUUUCAAGAUUGCUUCAUGAGGAUUAAUGAGAGCCACAUAGAGAUUGUUUGGAGGUAAGCGCUUGUAAAUAUAUUGACAUUUAAACUUCAGCAUAUGUUAGCAAUAUCGGCAUAGAUGACCCCUUCUGCAAGGAAUUGCUGCUGAUUAGAUUGAAGUUCCUUGGAUUCAAUGAGUUCUGGGCACUUCACCAACUUCCUUUUUUGUAUCUGUGGAGCCCAGCUGAGCAGAAUUCUGAAAGUCAGGCUUAGCAUCACAUAUCCAAAAGCUUUAUGCAGACACCAUAUGCAGGCUUAUUGUUCAACACCAAAGACCCAGUGCCAGUUAGAUUCGGUUGAUUAAUGGAUCUUAUUUAAUUCUAGUUAAAUUAUUAAUAUUUGGUUGUUCAACUAUGAUAUAAAGUUCAAUUUAAUCCAUGAACUUAAAAUUUUCCUCUGGAAAAUUGCAUGGAAUGCAAUCCCAGCUCUUGAGAUGCUUAGGAACAUAUUUGAGAUUGAAGAUAUUACUUGUUUGCUAGUUAUGGGGACUUGGAAACUGCGGAGCACCUUUUCAUUUCUUGUCAUGUGGCUCAAAUAGUGUGGUCUUUGUCUGAUUGGCCAAUCAAUUUCCAUGAGUUUGGAUUAAA
RNA transcript from Quercus robur (English oak), 1708 nucleotides. It is a transcript of the gene named PLASTID TRANSCRIPTIONALLY ACTIVE protein 6, chloroplastic, with no coding region annotated. The transcript has 7 exons. NCBI's taxonomy places the organism in Eukaryota, Viridiplantae, Streptophyta, Magnoliopsida, Fagales, Fagaceae. The record is from RefSeq and is a predicted model, not a curated record.